GAGAGCACAAGCUUUCAACACCAUCAUAUUAAACCCAGAUUCAAGUACUCUUCAAAAAUACACAGAAUCGUAUCAGAAAGAGAAAGAAAGGGAAACGUAUGGAGGCUGUAAAUAAAUGAUGAUUGCCAAA
Ornithorhynchus anatinus (platypus) is the source of this 130-nucleotide long non-coding RNA. RefSeq lists it as uncharacterized. Lineage: Eukaryota; Metazoa; Chordata; Mammalia; Monotremata; Ornithorhynchidae. The transcript is spliced from 2 exons. The record is from RefSeq and is a predicted model, not a curated record.